Long non-coding RNA from Culicoides brevitarsis, 1071 nucleotides. RefSeq lists it as uncharacterized. The transcript has 2 exons. Lineage: Eukaryota; Metazoa; Arthropoda; Insecta; Diptera; Ceratopogonidae. The record is from RefSeq and is a predicted model, not a curated record.
GAAUUUUUACACACAUGUGUAAAUAUUUUGAAAUGAAUCGUACGUUCGAGUUUGCCAAGGAGUUGUUGUAUCUGAAAGACAGAAAAAAAGAGUUUUUUAACAUCUUGUUCGACAACAUAUAUUGGCAGGCAGUAUAGAUAGGUCCAGUCUGAAAUAAUAAAAAUAUUGCGAAGAGAGGCACAUAUGCUGUGUCGUCUCACUUACAUAUUGUUAUUAUUCAUUUGCGAUUCGUACACAACUGAACGCCAGCGAACGAAAAAAAAAGUUGUUUCACUGUGUGUUUAUACUCGAAUGACACGUAUAUCGUUACUACUUUUGCUUUGUUGUUUCUGCUGCCACUGCUGCUGUUGCUGUUGAAUUUCAAGCGUAUAUCGUAUAUUUUUUGUUCUAGUUAUUAGUAUAUUGUCUGUCGAGACGGUCGUACAUGUUUCAAUUUAUUCCAAGUUAUCGUAGAAUUGUCGUUUGUUGUCAUAAAUAAAUAAAUAAAAGUUUAGUCUUGUUGUGAAUCGGUCGCGCGAAAGAUGUGGCGUACGCGGUAGCUGCCCAGAAACAACAAAAUUCCACGCAGAAAAUUAUGGACCAAGACUGACAACGAAAAAUAGCAACAAAUUCAACGAAAUGUCUCCCAAAAGUAGUGCAAUAAUUUUGCUCAUCUUAGUCGUGAUGACUUCAAUAUGUGAUGCGAGACCGAAUCCCGUUCCGCCGGACUCGAGUAAAGAUCCCCUUGUUGAAGAUCAUGACGGCAAAAAUACCAUUGAGAAGGCUUGUACUCCAUUGGACGUCUUCAAAGUUGCUUGUUACAAUUGUUGGUGCAAUCGCAUUGGAACAAUGGCGCUCUGUAAAAAGGCUCGUAAAUGCAUAAAUCCGGAAGCGCCGCCUUUUAUUAUGUAUCCGGAGUUUACUUAAAUGACAACUGACUGAAAUUAGAGUUAAGGUGCGUUAAGUGACUUCCUUGAGAGAAAAUUCAAAUGUGUGUCAUUGAAUAGAAAAAAAAAUACUUUUAACUUUGUCGAUAUUAAAGCCAUACAUUAGGCAAUGAAUGCCGCAUAAUAUAAUCUACAUUUAAAAAGA